UGCUUUUUGUAAAUAUAAAAAGUAUUACCUGCCCAAUGAUUAAUUUAAUGGCUGCAGUAUAUUGACUGUACAAAGGUAGCAUAAUCAUUUGCUUUAUAAAUUAAAGCUUGUAUGAAUGGUAUUAUGAAAAUAUGACUGUCUUUUAUUUAUCAAUAAAAUUUGAUUUUCCAGUGAAGAGACUGGAAAAUUUUAGAAAGACGAGAAGACCCUAAUGAGUUUUAUAUAUUAUUAUAUAUUAUUAUAAUUAUAUAUUUUAUUGGGGCAAUAAGAGAAAAAAUCUUCUUUUUAUAUAAAAGAAUAAUAUUUAAUGAACCAUUAAUAAUGAUUAAAAGUUUAAAUUACCAUAGGGAUAACAGCAUAAUUCUUUUCAAGAGUACUUAUCGACAAAAGAGAUUAUGACCUCGAUGUUGAAUUAAGAAAAUUAUAUGAUGAAGAAAUAUAUAAAUAAGUC
Molecule: ribosomal RNA, 451 nt
Filed under: Kumbadjena extrema
Lineage: Eukaryota; Metazoa; Onychophora; Udeonychophora; Euonychophora; Peripatopsidae
Description: partial 16S ribosomal RNA
Rfam family: Archaeal large subunit ribosomal RNA
Source: RNAcentral